CCCUUAGAUGUUCUGGGCCGCACGCGCGCUACACUGAUGCAUUCAACGAGUCUAAAACCUGCUCUGAUAGGGGUGGGUAAUCUUUUGAAUGUGCAUCGUGAUUGGGAUAGAUGAUUGCAAUUUUUCAUCUUCAACGAGGAAUGCCUAGUAAACGCAAGUCAUCAGCUUGCAUUGAUUACGUCCCUGCCCUUUGUACACACCGCCCGUCGCUCCUACCGAUUGUAUGAUCCGAUGAAUAUCAUAGACUGAGAGUAUAAGCAGGUUCGCCUGUCUUUGCUUCUCGGGAAGUGAAGUAAAUCUUAUCAUUUAGAGGAAGGAGAAGUCGUAACA
RNAcentral lists this ribosomal RNA (330 nucleotides) under uncultured eukaryote. RNAcentral describes it as "partial 18S ribosomal RNA". It matches the Rfam family "Eukaryotic small subunit ribosomal RNA", at positions 1470 to 1796 of the family's 1831-position model. The record is from RNAcentral.